Molecule: ribosomal RNA, 505 nt
Filed under: uncultured bacterium
Lineage: Bacteria
Description: bacterial SSU rRNA
Rfam family: Bacterial small subunit ribosomal RNA
Source: RNAcentral
AGAGUUUGAUCCUGGCUCAGAUUGAACGCUGGCGGCAGGCUUAACACAUGCAAGUCGAGCGGUAACAGAGGUAGCUUGCUAUCUGCUGACAAGCGGCGGACGGGUGAGUAAUGCUUGGGAAUAUGCCUUUGAGUGGGGGACAACAGUUGGAAACGACUGCUAAUACCGCAUAACGUCUACGGACCAAAGGGGGGGAUUCUUCGGAACCUCUCGCUCAUUGAUUAGCCCAAGUGAGAUUAGCUAGUUGGUAAGGUAAUGGCUUACCAAGGCGACGAUCUCUAGCUGGUUUGAGAGGAUGAUCAGCCACACUGGGACUGAGACACGGCCCAGACUCCUACGGGAGGCAGCAGUGGGGAAUAUUGCACAAUGGGCGAAAGCCUGAUGCAGCCAUGCCGCGUGUGUGAAGAAGGCCUUCGGGUUGUAAAGCACUUUCAGUUGUGAGGAAAGGAGUGUAGUUAAUAGCUGCAUUCUAUGACGUUAGCAACAGAAGAAGCACCGGCUAACU